CAGGUAGGCGGGGCGGUGCUUGAUGGCAUACCAGCACACCUGCGGGGCAUCAGACGUCAUCAGAGGAGCAUUUAAAGAGCUGUGAGGCGGACGUCUGGUGUUGGAGUAUUGUCGCUUCCACAAUUGCCUGUGUCACCGCCUGCUCGCCUGCCUGUUUGUUUGGAAUUGGUCUUCUCGGAUCUGUGAUGGAGAUUUACCUCGCAUCUGCCUGUGACCACUGCCCACACCUGUAUUUUCUGUUUCAAGUCGCUCUGGUGUGCCACCUAUCCUCCCACAUACCUCUGUUCCAUCCCCUCGGCUCCAUCUCCUCGCACGUUUACCCAAUCACUGUACAUAGCCCCAUCCCUUGUAAAUAUCCCCCUAUCACUGUAAAUAAAUCAGCAUUCACCACUAUCCCGAGCCCGUGUGUGUUUCUGCUA
Molecule: long non-coding RNA, 419 nt
Organism: Oreochromis aureus
Lineage: Eukaryota; Metazoa; Chordata; Actinopteri; Cichliformes; Cichlidae
Exons: 3
Source: RefSeq, a predicted model, not a curated record